UACGGUGGGGGCAAGCGUUGUUCGGAAUUACUGGGCGUAAAGGGCUCGUAGGUGGCCAACUAAGUCAGACGUGAAAUCCCUCAGCUUAACUGGGGAACUGCGUCUGAUACUGGAUGGCUUGAGUUCGGGAGAGGGAUGCGGAAUUCCAGGUGUAGCGGUGAAAUGCGUAGAUAUCUGGAGGAACACCGGUGGCGAAGGCGGCAUCCUGGACCGCCACUGACACUGAGGAGCGAAAGCCAGGGGAGCAAACGGG
RNAcentral lists this ribosomal RNA (253 nucleotides) under uncultured bacterium. RNAcentral describes it as "partial 16S ribosomal RNA". It matches the Rfam family "Bacterial small subunit ribosomal RNA", at positions 524 to 776 of the family's 1533-position model. The record is from RNAcentral.